Molecule: ribosomal RNA, 379 nt
Filed under: uncultured bacterium
Lineage: Bacteria
Description: bacterial SSU rRNA
Rfam family: Bacterial small subunit ribosomal RNA
Source: RNAcentral
AGUCAAUAGAUACCCUGGUAGUCCACGCCGUAAACGACUGAAUACUAGGUGUAGGGGUUGUCAUGACCUCGUGUGCCGCGCUAACGCAUUAAGUAUUCCGCCUGGGGAGUACGAUCGCAAGAUUAAAACUCAAAGGAAUUGACGGGGGNCCCGGCACAAGCAGCGGAGCAUGUGGUUUAAUUCGAAGCAACGCGAAGAACCUUACCUAGACUUGACAUCUCCUGAAUUACUCUGUAAUGGAGGAAGCCCUUCGGGGCAGGAAGACAGGUGGUGCAUGGUUGUCGUCAGCUCGUGUCGUGAGAUGUUGGGUUAAGUCCCGCAACGAGCGCAACCCUUAUUGUUAGUUGCUACCAUUAAGUUGAGCACUCUAGCGAGACUG